GCAUGUUCCCCAGACCUCGCCUUCACCAAUUCACAUUUGUCACUUUACCCAAAGAAAUUCAACAUUGUCAUUUCCAAAAAUAUGUAAUAUAUUUUGGCGGUUUCAUCAUACAAGUACCUCCCGCUGGUGCAGCUGCAGUAAAACAGUUAGUAAUGAAAAAUACCAAGACCCUUUUCAACUUGGUAGAAAAGACUUGAAGAAUCUCUAUGAAGAUAUUAAAAAGGAAUUACUUGUGU
Molecule: long non-coding RNA, 236 nt
Filed under: Amazona collaria (yellow-billed parrot)
Lineage: Eukaryota; Metazoa; Chordata; Aves; Psittaciformes; Psittacidae
Description: lncRNA (ENSACOG00000005709.1)
Source: RNAcentral